AAAUUGAAGAGUUUGAUCAUGGCUCAGAUUGAACGCUGGCGGCAGGCCUAACACAUGCAAGUCGAGCGGAAACGAGUUAUCAGAACCUUCGGGGGACGAUAACGGCGUCGAGCGGCGGACGGGUGAGUAAUGCCUAGGAAAUUGCCCUGGUGUGGGGGAUAACCAUUGGAAACGAUGGCUAAUACCGCAUGAUGCCUACGGGCCAAAGAGGGGGACCUUCGG
This 222-nucleotide ribosomal RNA is filed under the name Vibrio parahaemolyticus. RNAcentral's name for it is "partial 16S ribosomal RNA". It matches the Rfam family "Bacterial small subunit ribosomal RNA", at positions 1 to 213 of the family's 1533-position model. Lineage: Bacteria; Pseudomonadati; Pseudomonadota; Gammaproteobacteria; Vibrionales; Vibrionaceae. The record is from RNAcentral.